Molecule: ribosomal RNA, 253 nt
Filed under: uncultured bacterium
Lineage: Bacteria
Description: partial 16S ribosomal RNA
Rfam family: Bacterial small subunit ribosomal RNA
Source: RNAcentral
GACAGAGGUGCCGAGCGUUAGGCGGAAUCACUGGGCUUAAAGCGUGUGUAGGCGGAUCGUUCAGUGUCUUGUGAAAUCCCACGGCUCAACCGUGGAACUGCUGGGCAUACUGGCGAUCUUGAGCGACCUAGGGGCAGAUGGAACAGGCGGUGGAGCGGUGAAAUGCGUAGAUAUCGCCUGGAACGCCGAAGGUGAAAACAGGCAACUGGGGAUGCACCGACGCUGAGACACGAAAGCCAGGGGAGCGAACGGG